UCGCCUCCUAAAAGGUAACGGAGGCGCUCAAAGGUUCCCUCAGAAUGGUUGGAAAUCAUUCAUAGAGUGUAAAGGCAUAAGGGAGCUUGACUGCGAGACCUACAAGUCGAGCAGGGUCGAAAGACGGACUUAGUGAUCCGGUGGUUCCGCAUGGAAGGGCCAUCGCUCAACGGAUAAAAGCUACCCCGGGGAUAACAGGCUUAUCUCCCCCAAGAGUUCACAUCGACGGGGAGGUUUGGCACCUCGAUGUCGGCUCAUCGCAUCCUGGGGCUGUAGUCGGUCCCAAGGGUUGGGCUGUUCGCCCAUUAAAGCGGUACGCGAGCUGGGUUCAGAACGUCGUGAGACAGUUCGGUCCCUAUCCGUCGUGGGCGUAGGAAAUUUGAGAGGAGCUGUCCUUAGUACGAGAGGACCGGGAUGGACAUACCUCUGGUGUACCAGUUGUCGUGCCAACGGCAUAGCUGGGUAGCUAUGUGUGGACGGGAUAAGUGCUGAAAGCAUCUAAGCAUGAAGCCCCCCUCAAGAUGAGAUUUCCCAACUUCGGUUAUA
RNAcentral lists this ribosomal RNA (546 nucleotides) under Staphylococcus aureus. Its description in RNAcentral is "partial 23S ribosomal RNA". It matches the Rfam family "Bacterial large subunit ribosomal RNA", at positions 2283 to 2831 of the family's 2925-position model. The record is from RNAcentral. Lineage: Bacteria; Bacillati; Bacillota; Bacilli; Caryophanales; Staphylococcaceae.